RNAcentral lists this ribosomal RNA (253 nucleotides) under uncultured bacterium. Its description in RNAcentral is "partial 16S ribosomal RNA". It matches the Rfam family "Bacterial small subunit ribosomal RNA", at positions 524 to 776 of the family's 1533-position model. The record is from RNAcentral.
UACGGGGGGUGCGAGCGUUGUCCGGAAUCACUGGGCGUAAAGGGCGCGUAGGUGGCCAACUAAGUCAGACGUGAAAUCCCUCGGCUUAACCGGGGAACUGCGUCUGAUACUGGAUGGCUAGAGGUUGGGAGAGGGAUGCGGAAUUCCAGGUGUAGCGGUGAAAUGCGUAGAUAUCUGGAGGAACACCCGUGGCGAAGGCGGCUCUCUGGGACGGUACUGACGCUGAGACGCGAAAGCGUGGGGAGCGAACAGG